AACGAACGCUGGCGGCAGGCCUAACACAUGCAAGUCGAACGAGGUACUUCUUUCGGGGAGUGCCUAGUGGCGGACGGGUGCGUAACACGUGGGAAUCUACCUUAUAGUGGGGGAUAACUUCUGGAAACGGGAGCUAAUACCCCAUACGCCCUUCGGGGGAAAGAUUUAUCGCUAUAAGAUGAGCCCGCGGUGGAUUAGGUAGUUGGUGAGGUAAAGGCUCACCAAGCCGAUGAUCCAUAGCUGGUUUGAGAGAAUGACCAGCCACACUGGGACUGAGACACGGCCCAG
Molecule: ribosomal RNA, 288 nt
Filed under: uncultured bacterium
Lineage: Bacteria
Description: partial 16S ribosomal RNA
Rfam family: Bacterial small subunit ribosomal RNA
Source: RNAcentral